This 46-nucleotide microRNA precursor is filed under the name Paramuricea clavata. The record is from RNAcentral. Lineage: Eukaryota; Metazoa; Cnidaria; Anthozoa; Malacalcyonacea; Plexauridae.
CCAGGCUCUUUCCUCUACGCUCUUACGUAGAGGAAAGAGCCUGGGU